RNAcentral lists this ribosomal RNA (471 nucleotides) under uncultured bacterium. RNAcentral describes it as "SSU rRNA". It matches the Rfam family "Bacterial small subunit ribosomal RNA", at positions 26 to 518 of the family's 1533-position model. The record is from RNAcentral.
AGCCUGAACGCUGGCGGCGUGGCUAAGACAUGCAAGUCGAACGGGAUCGUAGCAAUACGGUCCAGUGGCGGACGGGUGAGUAAUGAAUCGCUAACGUACCCUCCCGUCUGGGAUAGCCGAGGGAAACUUCGGGUAAUACCAGAUGAGACCCCCUUGUCGCAUGGCGAGGGGCUCAAAGGAGCAAUCCGCGGGUGGCGCGGGCGAUUUCGUAUCAGCUAGUUGGUGGGGUAACGGCCCACCAAGGCGACGACGCGUAGCCGGACUGAGAGGUUGGCCGGCCACAUUGGGACUGAGACACUGCCCAGACUCCUACGGGGGCUGCAGUAACGAAUCUUCCGCAAUGCACGCAAGUGUGACGGAGCGACGCCGCGUGUGGGACGAAGUCCUUCGGGAUGUAAACCACUGUCAGGGGUUACCAAGUUCUGAGGAGCCCCAGAGGAAGGCACGGCUAACUCUGUCGCCAGCAGCCGC